RNAcentral lists this microRNA precursor (75 nucleotides) under Myotis lucifugus (little brown bat). RNAcentral's name for it is "mir-9229 microRNA precursor family". It matches the Rfam family "mir-9229 microRNA precursor family". Lineage: Eukaryota; Metazoa; Chordata; Mammalia; Chiroptera; Vespertilionidae. The record is from Rfam by way of RNAcentral.
GAGAAACCCUUCUGGGGCAAGACUUGCUUCAGUGGGGCUUUGGUGCUCACUGAGUGUGCCCCUGAGUGUGUCCCU